UUAAUCUGUGCGCUCUUCCUAGCGGAGACCGGUUCUUAUCUGUCCAAGUUCUGUGUCUUCAGGGGCCACUUGGUACAGGAAUUGGAUUCCCAGCCCAGGGCUACUAUGGACCAUUUGAGGCAGAUUGGGGAUGAACAGAAUCAUCUAUAGAAGAAAGCUAAGCCUCAGAAGCUUGGUAGAGCACGUAGGAGGAUUGAUUUGUGAGAGGUGGCCUGGAAUAGUGGAAUGAACAAAAGCUUUGGAGCCAGUAGACCUAUGCUCAAAUCCCAGCUGUGCUGCUUGGACUCUGACUCUGGACAUUGAUGACAGUAAAGUCCUUAAAUCACAAAGAGCUCACAAAGAUGUCUUCAGAAUCAAUGAAGGAAAAGGGAGCUUCAGAUGCUGGAACUCUGCACUUUGCCAGGUUUGGGAGAGGAGGAUGAGAGAGCGGGAGGUUAUCAGCUCCUGAAGGGAAGGAAAACGGGCUGAGUUUACAGGUGCUGACUGGAGCAAAAAAACGGAAAAUGGCAGCAUGGGGAGCUGGCCCCAGCCUGAGAAGCAGGCAGUGAACUACCACAGAGAGGACCCAUCGCCAACUCCCAAGUUCUGCAACAAGGGAUGCAGAAACCCUCAGUGGCUGCCCUAUUCCUACUAGCCUACAUCUAAUCUCCACAGCCUGGAAUUCAAGUUCGUUCAUGAGAUGAUUCUAACCUCUGACUUCAGAUAAAGCCGUUUACAGGCCUGUCCUCUACCCCGUUACGCCAUGCGUCCCUCACUGCGGGCAAGCUGGACUACUGAGUGUAUGGCUCUUGGUUCUACAGGCUGGAGGAACUUGUUUGCUAGGGAAAUGCCGAGCUUAGCUUCAGGAGAGCUUCAGAAUGAGAGAGCCAAAGAACUGCACGGCCAGGAGGGACCUUUGCAAACACUCUGGUCAGAGGUGGGAAACGAACACUGCAUUCUUGAGCAGACCUGAAGACCAGAUGCAGUGGUGGUGAGGGAUACAGCCCUUGGGACAGCUACCCCAUUCAGCCAAAAGGGCAUAUACUGGCUGCAUUUGUAACACGCUCAGUUCAUGAGCUCAUCCUCACACAGAGAAGGUGACAACAAAAACUGAUGGUCCAGGAAAAACAAGACAAAGACAGAGCUAAUAUUUUUUUGAGCAUCAAACUAUUGAAUUUAAGGCUUUUCAUGUACUGCCAUUUCCCGAAGCAGGGAGGGUCCUGCUUGUGCUCCCAGUAUGCCCUGGACUGACUUCCCCCGCCCAAGUCACGCUGUGUUGUCACCACCGAUUUCCAUGUCAGUCUUUCUCAAGAGACCAUGAGCCUCUUAAGGCUAUGUGAUUUUGCAAAUAUGGUGCUUGACCCAUGAAUGAAUGAAUGUCUAUGCGAAGCGCAUACACAUUUUUUUACCACCAGAUGGCAAACAUUCUUUGGAAAGUCUAGCUGUAAACUAUCUCAGAAAGAGUCUGGUGAACACUAAGUUUUUCAGGAAACUGGAUGAGUACCAUCCAACAACCUGAGAUUUUCAGGGCUGCCUAAGCUUCUUGUCUUUUAGCAGAGAGAAGAGAAAGCACCAGAACAGAAGUCAGGAGUUCUGGGGUAUGGAUCUGUGCUGCCAUUUACAUUUGGGCGAGUCACAUAUAUUUUCCAGGCCUUGGUUUUCUCAUUUCAAAAAAACCUGUGGACUGUGGUCAACACGUGUGAGCAUCUAUGCUAUCCCAGACCCUGACUCAGGUUCUGGGGUGUAAAGAAAUGGCUCAGGGGCACCUGGGUGGCUCAGAUGGUUAAGCGUCUGCCUUCGGCUCAGGUCACGAUCCCGGGGUCCUGGGAUCGAGUCCCACGUAGGGCUCCCAGCUCAACAGGGAGCCUGCUUCUCC
Molecule: long non-coding RNA, 1855 nt
Organism: Zalophus californianus (California sea lion)
Lineage: Eukaryota; Metazoa; Chordata; Mammalia; Carnivora; Otariidae
Exons: 3
Source: RefSeq, a predicted model, not a curated record